Molecule: unclassified non-coding RNA, 365 nt
Filed under: Hevea brasiliensis (rubber tree)
Lineage: Eukaryota; Viridiplantae; Streptophyta; Magnoliopsida; Malpighiales; Euphorbiaceae
Source: RNAcentral
GGGCUCCCACCAGCACUUUUAGAAAUUGACGAAGUUGUUGGAGAGCCAACUACCACAGGAGGAGAAGGUGAUUGGGUACCAUUAGGAGCUGAUUGCCCUUGAGGUGCAGCUGAUGGUUUUGGGUUGGCUGCAAAAGAUAUCUGUGCGUGGCCUUGUGGGACACGGCCUUGCUGUUGGGAAAGGGUUUUUAGGGAUGGUGAUGCGGAGGAAAGAGAUGGGGAAGGAACUUGGGAAGGGGUGGUCCUGACAGAAUUCUUCCACUGCGGAGAAUGAGCUGGACUACUGUUGCUCUGGACAAGAAUUGGAGGAAAUCCAGAUAAUGCAUUAGGGAACUUGGCAGCCAUUGAGGAAGACGAAGAAAUGUG